ACAACUCUUUGUGCUUUCAUUUGAGGUGAAGAUACCCUGAACAAGCCCCUCAAAGGAUUAUUAUCCAUAGUGACAAGUGACAAUAAAUUUCUGCACACUAUAUGAAUGUUUCCUUACCAAUUUCCACUUACCAAAGGCGCUUCACUCCCCGGCAACAGCGCCAGAAAAGAGUCUUGAUGACCCACAAGUAUAGGGGAUCAAUCGUAGUCCUUUCGGUAAGUAAGAGUGCCGAACCCAACGAGGAGCAGAAGGAU
This 254-nucleotide long non-coding RNA is filed under the name Hordeum vulgare. Its description in RNAcentral is "long non-coding RNA (HVUL_LNC019512)". The record is from RNAcentral. Lineage: Eukaryota; Viridiplantae; Streptophyta; Magnoliopsida; Poales; Poaceae.